Molecule: ribosomal RNA, 404 nt
Filed under: Actinomycetes bacterium
Lineage: Bacteria; Bacillati; Actinomycetota; Actinomycetes
Description: Actinobacteria bacterium partial 16S ribosomal RNA
Rfam family: Bacterial small subunit ribosomal RNA
Source: RNAcentral
UGGGGAAUUUUGGACAAUGGGCGCAAGCCUGAUCCAGCCAUGCCGCGUGAGUGAUGAAGGCCCUAGGGUUGUAAAGCUCUUUCACCGGUGAAGAUAAUGACGGUAACCGGAGAAGAAGCCCCGGCUAACUUCGUGCCAGCAGCCGCGGUAAUACGAAGGGGGCUAGCGUUGUUCGGAUUUACUGGGCGUAAAGCGCACGUAGGCGGACUUUUAAGUCAGGGGUGAAAUCCCGGGGCUCAACCCCGGAACUGCCUUUGAUACUGGAAGUCUUGAGUAUGGUAGAGGUGAGUGGAAUUCCGAGUGUAGAGGUGAAAUUCGUAGAUAUUCGGAAGAACACCAGUGGCGAAGGCGGCUCACUGGACCAUUACUGACGCUGAGGUGCGAAAGCGUGGGGAGCAAACAGG